This 438-nucleotide ribosomal RNA is filed under the name uncultured Clostridium sp. RNAcentral describes it as "partial 16S ribosomal RNA". It matches the Rfam family "Bacterial small subunit ribosomal RNA", at positions 341 to 792 of the family's 1533-position model. The record is from RNAcentral. Lineage: Bacteria; Bacillati; Bacillota; Clostridia; Eubacteriales; Clostridiaceae.
ACGGAAGGCAGCAGUGGGGAAUAUUGGGCAAUGGGCGCAAGCCUGACCCAGCAAUGCCGCGUGAAGGAAGAAGGCCUUCGGGUUGUAAACUUCUUUUAUCAGGGACGAAUACAAUUGACGGUACCUGAAGAAUAAGCCACGGCUAACUACGUGCCAGCAGCCGCGGUAAUACGUAGGUUGCAAGCGUUGUCCGGAUUUACUGGGUGUAAAGGGCGUGUAGGCGGAGAGGCAAGUCAGAUGUGAAAUCCCGGGGCUCAACCCCGGAACUGCAUUUGAAACUGUUUCCCUUGAGUAUCGGAGAGGCAAGCGGAAUUCCUAGUGUAGCGGUGAAAUGCGUAGAUAUUAGGAGGAACACCAGUGGCGAAGGCGGCUUGCUGGACGACAACUGACGCUGAGGCGCGAAAGCGUGGGGAGCAAACAGGAUUAGAUACCCUGGUA